This is a long non-coding RNA of Loxodonta africana (African savanna elephant), 125 nucleotides long. It matches the Rfam family "ST7 overlapping transcript 3 conserved region 3". NCBI's taxonomy places the organism in Eukaryota, Metazoa, Chordata, Mammalia, Proboscidea, Elephantidae. The record is from Rfam.
GAUUUACCUAUACUUGAGUACCUGCCGUGUGAUAGGCAAGUAACUGAGGGCCUUUUUCAGUUUGGGAUAUUUGUGGGUAAAGCACAUUUUGUCCUCCAAAAAACUAUUCUUGCAGUUCACAUCAG